Molecule: ribosomal RNA, 400 nt
Filed under: phytoplankton environmental sample
Lineage: Eukaryota
Description: partial small subunit ribosomal RNA
Rfam family: Eukaryotic small subunit ribosomal RNA
Source: RNAcentral
AGCUCCAAUAGCGUAUAUUAAAGUUGUUGCAGUUAAAAAGCUCGUAGUUGGAUUUGUGGGUGUCCCGAGCGGCCUGGCACCUAGUGCCAGUGCUUGCUUGCGUCCCCAUCCUUCGUUGGAACCUGUGUGGCAUUAGGUUGUCGUGCAGGGGAUGGCGAUCGUUUACUGUGAAAAAAUUAGAGUGUUCAAAGCAGGCUUAUGCCGUUGAAUAUGUUAGCAUGGAAUAAUAAGAUAGGACCUUGGUACUAUUUUGUUGGUUUGCGCACCAAGGUAAUGAUUAAAAGGGACAGUUGUGGCAAUUCGUAUUCCAUUGUCAGAGGUGAAAUUCUUGGAUUUUUGGAAGACGAACUACUGCGAAAGCAUUUUGCAAGGAUGUUUUCAUUAAUCAAGAACGAAAGUA